Molecule: ribosomal RNA, 756 nt
Filed under: uncultured Actinomycetes bacterium
Lineage: Bacteria; Bacillati; Actinomycetota; Actinomycetes
Description: bacterial SSU rRNA
Rfam family: Bacterial small subunit ribosomal RNA
Source: RNAcentral
CGAGCGAGAACCAGUCCUUCGGGGCUGGGGACAGCGGCGAACGGGUGAGUAACACGUGGGUAAUCUGCCCUCGGCACCGGAAUAGCCCGGGGAAACCCGGAUUAAUGCCGGAUGGCCUCUCUGCCCCUCGGGGCGGCGAGAAAAGGUAGCUUCGGCCUCCGGCCGAGGAUGAGCCCGCGGCCGAUUAGCUUGUUGGUGGGGUAACGGCUCACCAAGGCGACGAUCGGUAGCUGGUCUGAGAGGACGAUCAGCCACACUGGGACUGAGACACGGCCCAGACUCCUACGGGAGGCAGCAGUGGGGAAUCUUGCGCAAUGGGCGAAAGCCUGACGCAGCGACGCCCGUGCGGGAAGAAGGCCUUCGGGUUGUAAACCGCUUUCAGGAGGGACGAAGCCACUCGGGUUAAUAGCCUANAGGGUGACGGUACCUCCAGAAGAAGCCCCGGCUAACUACGUGCCAGCAGCCGCGGUAAUACGUAGGGGGCUAGCGUUGUCCGGAUUUAUUGGGCGUAAAGAGCGUGUAGGCGGCCAGGUAGGUCUGGUGUGAAAACUCGAGGCUUAACCUCGAGAUGUCAUCGGAAACCAUCUGGCUAGAGUCCGGAAGAGGAGAGUGGAAUUCCUGGUGUAGCGGUGAAAUGCGCAGAUAUCAGGAAGAACACCAAUGGCGAAAGCAGCUCUCUGGGACGGUACUGACGCUGAGACCCGAAAGCGUGGGGAGCGAACAGGAUUAGAUACCCUGGUAGUCCACGCCGUAAAC